This 643-nucleotide long non-coding RNA is filed under the name Setaria italica (foxtail millet). RNAcentral's name for it is "long non-coding RNA (SITA_LNC002451)". The record is from RNAcentral. Lineage: Eukaryota; Viridiplantae; Streptophyta; Magnoliopsida; Poales; Poaceae.
CAAGGUACUUACCAGAAUAGCGUCAUCAAUUUACCACAAAGUACCUACCGGAAUAUCGUCAUCAACUUACCAAAAAGGUAUUUACAAAAAUAGUGUCAUGAAUUUACCAGAGGUCUUUACAAAUGUAGCGUCAUCAGUUUAUGACAAUGGUAGUUACUAGACACUAUUGUAAUCAAUUUACCAGUUUGUUUAAGUUCUUUCUUUCAGAAUCAGAGUCCAUAUUAUAGGAAAAGAUUACUUUUACAAUUUAGUCUCUUAUACACAGUUCAAAGCCAAAUAAUAUAUAAUAUAUCUUUCUUACCAAAUUGAGUAGACUACAAAUGACAGUACAUGUACAUCAACAGUAAAUAAUAUGAGAAAUUUAUAUAGCUUUCUUAAUACUUUGAAAUAUGUAAGAAUAACUUUCUACUCAAAGCAAAUCCAUCACUAGCUAAUUGGCACCAGUAGAUAAGUCUUGCUCCCAUUGACUAUAUCAGAAAAAAGAUUUGACAGAACAAAGAAUUUCAUCUGAGGGCUGUCAAAAAUGGGAUUCUUGAGCGUACGAGCAAAGACCUGCAUGACGCAGCCUUCAACCUCAUCUGUAGUUCAGGUUUGAACUCUUUUCUUGCUCCCGCUGCAGACUUGCACAGAGAAACGAAUGAAC